RNAcentral lists this ribosomal RNA (254 nucleotides) under uncultured bacterium. RNAcentral describes it as "partial 16S ribosomal RNA". It matches the Rfam family "Bacterial small subunit ribosomal RNA", at positions 524 to 776 of the family's 1533-position model. The record is from RNAcentral.
UACGGGGGGAGCAAGCGUUGUUCGGAUUUACUGGGCGUAAAGGGCGCGUAGGCGGCCACCGCAAGUCGACUGUGAAAUCUCCGGGCUUAACCCGGAAAGGUCAGCCGAUACUGCGGGGCUAGAGUGCAGAAGGGGCAACUGGAAUUCUCGGUGUAGCGGUGAAAUGCGUAGAUAUCGAGAGGAACACCUGCGGCGAAGGCGGGUUGCUGGGCUGACACUGACGCUGAGAAGCGAAAGCAUGGGGAGCGAACAGG